RNAcentral lists this ribosomal RNA (591 nucleotides) under Pyrenochaetopsis sp. NRRL 62966. RNAcentral describes it as "eukaryotic LSU rRNA". It matches the Rfam family "Eukaryotic large subunit ribosomal RNA", at positions 1 to 595 of the family's 3401-position model. Lineage: Eukaryota; Fungi; Ascomycota; Dothideomycetes; Pleosporales; Pyrenochaetopsidaceae. The record is from RNAcentral.
UUGACCUCGGAUCAGGUAGGGAUACCCGCUGAACUUAAGCAUAUCAAUAAGCGGAGGAAAAGAAACCAACAGGGAUUGCCCUAGUAACGGCGAGUGAAGCGGCAUCAGCUCAAAUUUGAAAUCUGGCUCUUUCAGAGUCCGAGUUGUAAUUUGCAGAGGGCGCUUUGGUGUCGGCAGCGGUCCAAGUUCCUUGGAACAGGACGUCACAGAGGGUGAGAAUCCCGUACGUGGUCGCUGACCUACACCGUGUAAAGCCCCUUCGACGAGUCGAGUUGUUUGGGAAUGCAGCUCUAAAUGGGAGGUAAAUUUCUUCUAAAGCUAAAUACUGGCCAGAGACCGAUAGCGCACAAGUAGAGUGAUCGAAAGAUGAAAAGCACUUUGGAAAGAGAGUCAAACAGCACGUGAAAUUGUUGAAAGGGAAGCGCUUGCAGCCAGACUUGCUUGUAGUUGCUCAUCCGGGCUUUUGCCCGGUGCACUCUUCUGCGAGCAGGCCAGCAUCAGUUUGGGCGGUUGGAUAAAGGCCUCUGUCACGUACCUUCUCUCGGGAAGGCCUUAUAGGGGAGGCGUCAUGCAACCAGCCUGGACUGAGGU